UUUUGGGGGCCACGUGUGGCAUGAUCGACAUGUCAGGGUGAGAGCUGCCGCCACCCUACUGAAGCAGUCCUGUGCCAUGUUACGGAGUUGAAGAAGUAGUCGGUGAAACAACGGGGCUCAUAACCUGUUAAGACCAGCAAAGCGCCGGACCCCCGUUGGGUCCUAUUACUGUGGCUACCAUUCACUGGUAUAUGAGUGUCGGUCAUUUCCAACACUACCAGCAGCACAGCAACAGCAAUAAUAGCAGCCACACCCAGAAUAACGGACAACAGUCAUCAACAACACCAACAGUACAAUAUCCGUUGCGUUGUAUCUUCUCCUAUUUGGGCUCCCGACCUCGUUCCUUAACAUGAUGAUUCUGAAGG
This 365-nucleotide long non-coding RNA is filed under the name Volvox carteri. Its description in RNAcentral is "long non-coding RNA (VCAR_LNC002498)". The record is from RNAcentral. Lineage: Eukaryota; Viridiplantae; Chlorophyta; Chlorophyceae; Chlamydomonadales; Volvocaceae.